RNAcentral lists this ribosomal RNA (252 nucleotides) under uncultured bacterium. Its description in RNAcentral is "partial 16S ribosomal RNA". It matches the Rfam family "Bacterial small subunit ribosomal RNA", at positions 524 to 776 of the family's 1533-position model. The record is from RNAcentral.
UACGUAGGUCCCGAGCGUUGUCCGGAUUUAUUGGGCGUAGAGCGAGCGCAGGUGGUUUAUUAAGUCUGGUGUAAAAGGCAGUGGCUCAAGCAUUGUAUGCAUUGGAAACUGGUAGACUUGAGUGCAGGAGAGGAGAGUGGAAUUCCAUGUGUAGCGGUGAAAUGCGUAGAUAUAUGGAGGAACACCGGUGGCGAAAGCGGCUCUCUGGCCUGUAACUGACACUGAGGCUCGAAAGCGUGGGGAGCAAACAGG